GGGGUCAUGGGAUGUGGGGUUAUGGGGGGGUUAUGGGGGACACGGGGAGAUUGGAGGCGAUUUGGGGCCGUUUUCACCACGGUUUUGGGGCCAUUUUCUAUGGGAUUUCGGGGGCCAUUUUGGGGCCACUUUCAAUGGGAUUUUGGGCCAUUUUGGGCCACUUUCAAUGGGAUUUUGGUCCAUUUCGAUCAAUUUGGGGCCACUUCCAAUGGGCUUUUGUUCCCUUUUGUUCCCUUUUGGUCCCUUUGGUUCCCUUUGUUCCCUUUUGUUCCCUUUGUUCCCUUCCUGCCCACCUCCCUUGGGAUUCCGCUGCCCUGGGUUCCCUUUGGUUCCCCUGUGUCCCCUUUUGUCCCCUGUUCCCCCUGUGUCCCCUGUGCCCCCUGUGUCCCCUGCUCCCCCUGUGUCCCCUGUGCCCCCUUUUGUCCCCUGUUCCCUCUUUUGUCCCCUGUUCCCCCUGUGUCC
Molecule: long non-coding RNA, 462 nt
Filed under: Phasianus colchicus (ring-necked pheasant)
Lineage: Eukaryota; Metazoa; Chordata; Aves; Galliformes; Phasianidae
Description: lncRNA (ENSPCLG00000016901.1)
Source: RNAcentral